Non-coding RNA from Trichonephila inaurata madagascariensis, 77 nucleotides. The record is from the annotation of a GenBank genome assembly. Lineage: Eukaryota; Metazoa; Arthropoda; Arachnida; Araneae; Nephilidae.
GCCCAUCCAGUAGGGCGGAUAUGACACUCGGGUUGUAACUGAGUGGACUCGGGUUCGAAUCCCGAAUAAGGCAGGCA